This 532-nucleotide long non-coding RNA is filed under the name Cavia porcellus (domestic guinea pig). Its description in RNAcentral is "lncRNA (ENSCPOG00000031065.1)". The record is from RNAcentral. Lineage: Eukaryota; Metazoa; Chordata; Mammalia; Rodentia; Caviidae.
GAAGUCCCCUUGCUUGAGCAAGGAUCUCAGAGGUGGCAUUCGUGUCCAUCAAGCAGUCUGUAUUUCUCAUUCCUUUGUGCUUCCCUCACUCAUUCAGCAAACAUCAGUGUAUUUCCAUGGAUCAAGCACCUUCUCAAGCUUUGGGAACUCAACCAUGAGCACAAUUUCCUGCCUUUAAAGACCCAACAUUCCUGGAAGAAAAGAUACACAGUGAGCAAACACAAUGCUCAGGGGACACAGGAGGCAGAGGAUAAGCAAGUGAGCAGCCCUGGUGUACGCACGCAGCAGGGGAGGCUGAAGCAGGAGGGCCGCAGGCUACAACGAGGUGCAGAGAAAUGAGCUACCACCACGGCCUGGAGAGACAGGAAGAGCCGUGCAGGGAGGGCCUCAAGCUGAGGAGAGCUUUCGAGGGGGCAAGGAGCUGGGCAGGACGGCUACCCAGACUAAGGUGGGUUUGCCAAGGAAAGGGGUGUGCAUGGCAGGAGUGAGGGGCGCUGACAGAGGGCGGGUGGGGUGUUAAGCAGCACAGGUG